CCCAAGGGAAUCGCUAAGUUAACCGGGCCGAGGUGAAGCGGGAAGAGCUCAAAUUUGAAAUCUGGUAGCCUUCGGUUGCCCGAGUUGUAAUCUAGAGAAGUGUUUUCCGCGUUGGCCCAUGUACAAAUCCCUUGGAACAGGGCGUCAUAGAGGGUGAGAAUCCCGUCCUUGACAUGGACCCCCAAUGCUUUGUGAUACACUUUCAACGAGUCGAGUUGUUUGGGAAUGCAGCUCAAAAUGGGUGGUGAAUUCCAUCUAAAGCUAAAUAUUGGCGAGAGACCGAUAGCGAACAAGUACCGUGAGGGAAAGAUGAAAAGCACUUUGGAAAGAGAGUUAAACAGUACGUGAAAUUGUUGAAAGGGAAACGAUUGAAGUCAGUCAUGCUCUUUGGAUUAAGCCGUUCUGCGGUGUAUUUCAUUGAGCGGGGUCAACAUCAGUUUUGAUCGCUGGAAAAGGGCAGGAGGAAGGUAGCACUCUCGGGUGAACUUAUAGCCUCUUGUCGUAUACAGUGAUUGGGACUGAGGAACGCAGCAUGCCUUUUGGCCGGGAUUCGUCCACGUACAUGCUUAGGAUGUUGACAUAAUGGCUUUAAACGACCCGUCUUGAAACACGGACCAAA
Molecule: ribosomal RNA, 619 nt
Filed under: Naganishia globosa
Lineage: Eukaryota; Fungi; Basidiomycota; Tremellomycetes; Filobasidiales; Filobasidiaceae
Description: partial large subunit ribosomal RNA
Rfam family: Eukaryotic large subunit ribosomal RNA
Source: RNAcentral